Molecule: ribosomal RNA, 164 nt
Filed under: Polylepis australis
Lineage: Eukaryota; Viridiplantae; Streptophyta; Magnoliopsida; Rosales; Rosaceae
Description: 5.8S ribosomal RNA
Rfam family: 5.8S ribosomal RNA
About the family: 5.8S ribosomal RNA (5.8S rRNA) is a component of the large subunit of the eukaryotic ribosome. It is transcribed by RNA polymerase I as part of the 45S precursor that also contains 18S and 28S rRNA.
Source: RNAcentral
UAAACGACUCUCGGCAACGGAUAUCUCGGCUCUCGCAUCGAUGAAGAACGUAGCGAAAUGCGAUACUUGGUGUGAAUUGCAGAAUCCCGUGAACCAUCGAGUCUUUGAACGCAAGUUGCGCCCGAAGCCUUUUGGCCGAGGGCACGUCUGCCUGGGCGUCACAC